This 625-nucleotide ribosomal RNA is filed under the name Vibrio sp. SOMBO32. RNAcentral describes it as "bacterial SSU rRNA". It matches the Rfam family "Bacterial small subunit ribosomal RNA", at positions 48 to 651 of the family's 1533-position model. Lineage: Bacteria; Pseudomonadati; Pseudomonadota; Gammaproteobacteria; Vibrionales; Vibrionaceae. The record is from RNAcentral.
CCUAAACAUGCAAGUCGAGCGGAAACGACACUAACAAUCCUUCGGGUGCGUUAAUGGGCGUCGAGCGGCGGACGGGUGAGUAAUGCCUAGGAAAUUGCCUUGAUGUGGGGGAUAACCAUUGGAAACGAUGGCUAAUACCGCAUAAUGCCUACGGGCCAAAGAGGGGGAUCUUCGGACCUCUCGCGUCAAGAUAUGCCUAGGUGGGAUUAGCUAGUUGGUGAGGUAAUGGCUCACCAAGGCGACGAUCCCUAGCUGGUCUGAGAGGAUGAUCAGCCACACUGGAACUGAGACACGGUCCAGACUCCUACGGGAGGCAGCAGUGGGGAAUAUUGCACAAUGGGCGAAAGCCUGAUGCAGCCAUGCCGCGUGUAUGAAGAAGGCCUUCGGGUUGUAAAGUACUUUCAGUUGUGAGGAAGGGNGUGUAGUUAAUNUGCUGNACAUCUUGACGUUAGCAACAGAAGAAGCACCGGCUAACUCCGUGCCAGCAGCCGCGGUAAUACGGAGGGUGCGAGCGUUAAUCGGAAUUACUGGGCGUAAAGCGCAUGCAGGUGGUUCAUUAAGUCAGAUGUGAAAGCCCGGGGCUCAACCUCGGAACUGCAUUUGAAACUGGUGAACUAGAGUGCUG